AACUCAAAGGAAUUGACGGGGGCCCGCACAAGCGGAGGAGCAUGUGGUUUAAUUCGAUGAUACGCGAGGAACCUUACCUGGGCUCGAACGUAAGAUGACUGUAGGUGAAAGCUUACAUCUCUUCGGAGCAUUUUACGAGGUGCUGCAUGGUUGUCGUCAGCUCGUGCCGUGAGGUGUCGGGUUAAGUCCCAUAACGAGCGCAACCCCUACCUUUAGUUGCCAUCAGGUUAAGCUGGGGACUCUAAGGAGACUGCCGGUGACAAACCGGAGGAAGGUGGGGAUGACGUCAAGUCAUCAUGGCCCUUACGGCCUGGGCUACACACGUGCUACAAUGGUCGGUACAAAGGGUUGCCAAGCCGCGAGGUGGAGCUAAUCCCAUAAAACCGAUCGUAGUCCGGAUCGCAGUCUGCAACUCGACUGCGUGAAGUCGGAAUCGCUAGUAAUCGUGAAUCAGAAUGUCACGGUGAAUACGUUCCCGGGCCUU
Molecule: ribosomal RNA, 484 nt
Filed under: uncultured Pseudomonas sp.
Lineage: Bacteria; Pseudomonadati; Pseudomonadota; Gammaproteobacteria; Pseudomonadales; Pseudomonadaceae
Description: bacterial SSU rRNA
Rfam family: Bacterial small subunit ribosomal RNA
Source: RNAcentral